ACUGGGCACAGUAGCACAUGCCUGUAGUCCCAGCUACUCAGGAGGCUGAGACAGGAGGAUCGCUUGAGUCCAGGAGUUCUGGGCUGUAGUGCGCUAUGUCCAUUGGGUGUCCAUACUAAGUUCAGCAUCAAUAUGGUGACCUCCCAGGAGGUCAGGGGGCCACCAGGUUGCCUAAGGAGGGGUGAAUGGGCCCAGCUCUGAAAUGGAGCAGGUCAAAGCUACCAUGCUGAUCAGUAGUGGGAUUGUGCCUGUGCGGUCACUGCACUCCAGCCUGGGCAACAUAGUGAGACCCUGGUAU
Non-coding RNA from Otolemur garnettii (small-eared galago), 298 nucleotides. Lineage: Eukaryota; Metazoa; Chordata; Mammalia; Primates; Galagidae. The record is from Rfam.